UGACAGGUGCUGCAUGGCUGUCGUCAGCUCGUGUCGUGAGAUGUUGGGUUAAGUCCCGCAACGAGCGCAACCCUCGCCUUUAGUUGCCAGCAUUCAGUUGGGCACUCUAGAGGGACUGCCGGUGUCAAACCGGAGGAAGGUGGGAUGACGUCAAGUUCUCAUGGCCUUUAUGUCUAGGGCUACACACGUACUACAAUGGCCGGUACAAAGGGCAGCCACUCAGCGAUGAGGCGCUAAUCCCAUAAAGCCGGUCUCAGUCCGGAUCGCAGUCUGCAACUCGACUGCGUGAAGUUGGAAUCGCUAGUAAUCGCGGAUCAGCAUGCCGCGGUGAAUACCGUUCCCGGGUCUU
Molecule: ribosomal RNA, 349 nt
Filed under: uncultured Desulfurivibrio sp.
Lineage: Bacteria; Pseudomonadati; Thermodesulfobacteriota; Desulfobulbia; Desulfobulbales; Desulfobulbaceae
Description: bacterial SSU rRNA
Rfam family: Bacterial small subunit ribosomal RNA
Source: RNAcentral